This is a small nuclear RNA of Drosophila eugracilis, 144 nucleotides long. RefSeq annotates it as U4 spliceosomal RNA. The record is from RefSeq and is a predicted model, not a curated record. Lineage: Eukaryota; Metazoa; Arthropoda; Insecta; Diptera; Drosophilidae. The transcript has a single exon.
AACCUUGUGCAGUGGCAAUAUCUCAAGCCAUGAAGUCCAAACUGAGCUGAGAUUAUUGCUAGUUGAAAACUAAAACCAAUAGCUCGCCCAGCAGGAAGAUCAACGGUCUUCUAACUGAGGCAAUUUUUUCAGGCCCUUAGAGGC